GGAGGACAGCUGUACUUCAACUGUUUAAGACAUAACAAAAUCAAUUUUAAACUGUUUAUCUUCGUUCAAACCAUUUAACAAAUCUACAUACUGCAUUUUCUAGUUAUUAUCAUAAAAAAAAUUGUUGUUGUUUUCAGCGGCACUGCUGGAGUGUCAGCUCAGUGAAUGUCAGUGAAUGCAUAUAGGGGAAACACUGAUAUAGGUGUUAUUGGGCCCCUAAUACAGUAUUUGAAGACGUUCAAGAAAUUCAGCCUUGGUGCAGAAUUACAGCCUCUACUAGCCAGCCCCACAAUGAGUUUUCCACAAACAUGCCAUUUUUUUAGAGGCGGGUCACGAUGGAGGGUGGGGGUGCGGCCCUGAGCAGAAUGCGGCCACGGUACCAUGUGCUAGUGUUUACAGUUGAUGUAUCGCAAUGGCUGGGAUUCAAAAUAUCAUCCGGAGGCGCACAGCUUUUGGCCGUGUUCUGUAAAUAUUCUAGAACACUCCAGGUUCUCCGGCGCGAGUCCUGGAGCUCUAUAUCUAAACAAUAUAAUAUAAUAUAUAGAUAUCUAUAUAUAAUAUAAUAUAUAUUAUCACAGACAAAAGCUGUGUGCGCCUCCGGAUGAUAUUAUGAAUCUCAAACGACUGCGUCAGGUUCUCAGACGUUUCUAGUUCUUCCACUUCCAAUUCAAUUAAGUACAGACUGAGCGGGACAUGGAGGAGAAAGCGCUACCGAGGGCGCUACUGGGGACCUGAGCCCCUCGGUAGCAGGUCUCCCGCCAGAGCCCCGCUUCCGGGGCACCACAGCUGCAACGUCAGAGAACCCGACGCAGUCUAGUCUUCUCACCAAAUGGGAGCUUUACGCAAAACUCACCUUAUGUUGUAUGUUAUGCACCAUAACACCAACAGCAGAACGGUUAUCAAAAUAACAAAGAAGUGUUGUAUACUUGCUUUACAGUGUGUGUAUAUUCACACACACACAUGUGGUGCUCGCAGGUUUGUAGCUCAUUGUCUAAUUGGCUGGCCAAAUUCUCUGGGCGGGCAAACCAGAGAAAGGGGAGGUAACCUGGCCCCUUAUGACGACAUAUGGGGCCAAAUUCCAAAUCGGCGUGUCUGAGCUUUCAUUUUUCAAUGAAAAAUGUGUAAAAGCACUGUGUAAAACACUGUGUAAAACAGUGCUUGUUUUACACCUAAUGUCAUUUCUAGCCAUUGGGGGACCAUAUGCAGUAGGUGGAACUCAUAUUAAUGUUAGAAAGCCUCAUAAAGUGAAAUUUUCAUGCCAUGGACCUUUUAACUCGUAUGAAUAUGACAUCACCUGUUAAAAAUGU
Gadus macrocephalus (Pacific cod) is the source of this 1307-nucleotide long non-coding RNA. RefSeq lists it as uncharacterized. The record is from RefSeq and is a predicted model, not a curated record. The transcript has 2 exons. NCBI's taxonomy places the organism in Eukaryota, Metazoa, Chordata, Actinopteri, Gadiformes, Gadidae.